RNAcentral lists this ribosomal RNA (774 nucleotides) under Triticum aestivum (bread wheat). RNAcentral describes it as "partial small subunit ribosomal RNA". The record is from RNAcentral. Lineage: Eukaryota; Viridiplantae; Streptophyta; Magnoliopsida; Poales; Poaceae.
AUGGCAGAGUUAGGGCUCCGGGAGGAGGACCUCGAUGAUGUGGUUUUCGAUGAGAAGGAGGCACCAGAUGAGGCGGCGCGUUGGAUAGCGCUUGUUAGGGUUCAUACCGCUAAAACCUAUAGCCAGUUUUGGUUCUUCAGGAACAUGCGAGCAGCAUGGGAUCUCGCCCAGGAAGUUCAGUUCAAACCUCUGGAAGAUAACUUGUAUACGACGCAGUUUUCAUGCCUGGGCGAUUGGGAAAGAAUAACACAAGAUGGCCCAUGGCACUUCCUUGGUGAUCCGGUGAUCAUUAAACCGUACGAUGGCUUGGUGAAGCCGUCUACAGUCCAGCUUGACACCAUCGAGAUAUGGGUGCAGAUGCAUGAUGUACCUCCCCUGUAUGCUCAUCUAGUGCCCUCCCUAGCUUCAAAGGUGGGAGAAGUUCUUUUUGCUGAACCACAAUCGCAUGACUUCGCGGGAAACUUUCACCGCGUCUGGGUUCGGAUCAAUGUAAAUAAGCCUCUGAAGAACGCAGUAUCGAUGAUAAAGGAAGCGCCAGAUAUACAGGCUAAAAUACGAGAAACUGCCCGACUGGUGUGCGGUUUGUGGUAUGUUGGGGCAUUUGUUCAAAGAACAUGGAAGUGGUUUACACCCUCCUUCAGCUCUUGUUUUCAAGGAUCUCAGGGCAAGCUGGGUGAUGAGUACUGGACAGGGCCCGGGAGGAGGCCGGGGAUGCAGAGGAGGACGACGAGGGGGACGCGCUGGACGAGGAACAAGCUCUCGUUCGGAUCCUGA